GGAAAUAUACUGGAAAAAAUUUAAAAAAAGGAUCAAUCACAAUCAGAGGCACAAAGUGUGACUCGUGCAGAUUCGGAUUCGACUUCGUCAUCAGAUGAUGAUUGUGCAAUAUCAAUGAGAACUCUAUCAACAUCACAUAACAAUAAAAUAAAAUUUACAGAAGAAACGGUAUCUUUGAGAAAGAAAAAUAGAGCGUUGGAAGCCGAAAAUUUAAAAUUAAAAGAAGAAAAUAAAGAAAUAAAAAUAGCUAGCGCAAAAGAUUUAAAAGACAUAAAAGACAUGACGACGACAAUUUUAAGACUUUUAAAAGUUAAUGAACGGGAAA
Molecule: non-coding RNA, 325 nt
Organism: Nylanderia fulva
Lineage: Eukaryota; Metazoa; Arthropoda; Insecta; Hymenoptera; Formicidae
Source: RefSeq, a predicted model, not a curated record